AAAGAAGAAGAAAAAUUAAAAAGAAGAAGGACAAGGAUUCCAGCUCUUCCUCAUCUUCUGACAGUGAGGAUGACAAGAAAAAGAAGAAGAAGAA
This is a long non-coding RNA of Fundulus heteroclitus (mummichog), 94 nucleotides long. RefSeq lists it as uncharacterized. The record is from RefSeq and is a predicted model, not a curated record. The transcript is spliced from 2 exons. Lineage: Eukaryota; Metazoa; Chordata; Actinopteri; Cyprinodontiformes; Fundulidae.